Molecule: ribosomal RNA, 501 nt
Filed under: uncultured soil bacterium
Lineage: Bacteria
Description: bacterial SSU rRNA
Rfam family: Bacterial small subunit ribosomal RNA
Source: RNAcentral
AGUGGCAGACGGGUGAGUAACACGUGAACAACCUACCUUCGAGUGGGGAAUAACACCGCGAAAGCGGUGCUAAUACCGCAUAACAUCUCCGCAUGCAAGGGCGCGCUCGGAGAGGGGUUCGCGCCUGAUUAGCUAGUUGGUGAGGUAACGGCCCACCAAGGCAACGAUCAGUAGCCGGCCUGAGAGGGCGAACGGCCACACUGGAACUGAGACACGGUCCAGACUCCUACGGGAGGCAGCAGUGGGGAAUUUUGCGCAAUGGGCGAAAGCCUGACGCAGCAACGCCGCGUGGAGGAUGAAGGUCUUCGGAUCGUAAACUCCUGUCAGCGGGGACGAAUGACUGUACCCGCUGAGGAAGCCACGGCUAACUCCGUGCCAGCAGCCGCGGUAAUACGGAGGUGGCAAGCGUUGUUCGGAAUUACUGGGCGUAAAGGGCGCGUAGGCGGCUUAGCAAGUCAGAUGUGAAAGCCCCGGGCUUAACUCGGGAAUUGCAUCUGAAAC